UCCCUGGUGGCUCAGACGGCAAAGCAUCUGCCUGCAAUGCGGGAGGCCCGGGUUCAAUUCCUGGGUCGGGAA
RNAcentral lists this transfer RNA (72 nucleotides) under Ovis aries (sheep). It matches the Rfam family "tRNA". Rfam says of the family: Transfer RNA (tRNA) molecules are approximately 80 nucleotides in length. Their secondary structure includes four short double-helical elements and three loops (D, anti-codon, and T loops). Further hydrogen bonds mediate the characteristic L-shaped molecular structure. tRNAs have two regions of fundamental functional importance: the anti-codon, which is responsible for specific mRNA codon recognition, and the 3' end, to which the tRNAs corresponding amino acid is attached (by aminoacyl-tRNA synthetases). tRNAs cope with the degeneracy of the genetic code in two manners: having more than one tRNA (with a specific anti-codon) for a particular amino acid; and 'wobble' base-pairing, i.e. permitting non-standard base-pairing at the 3rd anti-codon position. Lineage: Eukaryota; Metazoa; Chordata; Mammalia; Artiodactyla; Bovidae. The record is from Rfam by way of RNAcentral.